UAGUCCACGCCGUAAACGAUGAGUGCUAGAUGCCGGGUGUCAAAGCUCGGUAUCGCCGUUAACACAUUAAGCACUCCGCCUGGGGAGUACGUACGCAAGUAUGAAACUCAAAGGAAUUGACGGGGACCCGCACAAGUAGCGGAGCAUGUGGUUUAAUUCGAGGCAACGCGAAGAACCUUACCAGGGCUUGACAUAUCUUUGAUCGGUUUAGAGAUAAACCCUCUUCUUCGGAAGCAGAGAUAC
RNAcentral lists this ribosomal RNA (243 nucleotides) under uncultured bacterium. Its description in RNAcentral is "partial 16S ribosomal RNA". It matches the Rfam family "Bacterial small subunit ribosomal RNA", at positions 791 to 1035 of the family's 1533-position model. The record is from RNAcentral.